GGCGGACGGGUGAGUAACGCGUGGAUAACCUGCCUCAUACAGGGGGAUAACAGUUAGAAAUGACUGCUAAUACCGCAUAAGCGCACAGGACCGCAUGGUCCGGUGUGAAAAACUCCGGUGGUAUGGGAUGGAUCCGCGUCUGAUUAGCUGGUUGGUGAGGUAACGGCCCACCAAGGCGACGAUCAGUAGCCGGCCUGAGAGGGUGAACGGCCACAUUGGGACUGAGACACGGCCCAAACUCCUACGGGAGGCAGCAGUGGGGAAUAUUGCACAAUGGGGGAAACCCUGAUGCAGCGACGCCGCGUGAGUGAGGAAGUAUUUCGGUAUGUAAAGCUCUAUCAGCAGGGAAGAAAAUGACGGUACCUGACUAAGAAGCCCCGGCUAACUACGUGCCAGCAGCCGCGGUAAUACGUAGGGGGCAAGCGUUAUCCGGAUUUACUGGGUGUAAAGGGAGCGUAGACGGCUAGUCAAGUCAGAAGUGAAAGCCCAGGGCUCAACCUUGGGACUGCUUUUGAAACUGAGUAGCUAGAGUGCAGGAGAGGUAAGCGGAAUUCCUA
RNAcentral lists this ribosomal RNA (557 nucleotides) under uncultured bacterium. RNAcentral describes it as "bacterial SSU rRNA". It matches the Rfam family "Bacterial small subunit ribosomal RNA", at positions 97 to 672 of the family's 1533-position model. The record is from RNAcentral.